AGGCGACAUCGUUCUAUCGCUUCAAAUUUUGUUUUGAAGAGGAAAGUCCGGGCAACAUAGAGUAUCAUACUACCUAACGGGUAGGCAAGCGUUAUAUAACGUUUGACAGCAAGUGCCACAGAAAAAUACCGCCAAAGUUUUGGUAAGGGUGAAAAUGUGAGGUAAGAGCUCACAAAUUAUGUUAGUGAUAACAUAAUUGGGUAAACCUUAUGAGUUGAAAGACCAAAUAUAUCGCAGAGUAUGUUUUCAUAAUACGUACAAGAAGCUACUCGUUUCUUUGCGAGGGGUAGGUCGUUAGAGGUAUAUUGUGAGAUAUAUCCCAGAUUAAUGAUAGAAACAGAUUUGUGAUUACACAUAAAUAAUCAUUCUGUACAGAACCCGGCUUAUAGAUGUCGUCUUUUG
This 402-nucleotide RNase P RNA is filed under the name Bacteroidales bacterium. RNAcentral's name for it is "RNase P RNA component class A". It matches the Rfam family "Bacterial RNase P class A". From Rfam's summary of the family: Ribonuclease P (RNase P) is a ubiquitous endoribonuclease, found in archaea, bacteria and eukarya as well as chloroplasts and mitochondria. Lineage: Bacteria; Pseudomonadati; Bacteroidota; Bacteroidia; Bacteroidales. The record is from RNAcentral.